CCUACGGGAGGCAGCAGUGGGGAAUAUUGCACAAUGGGGGAAACCCUGAUGCAGCGACGCCGCGUGAGUGAAGAAGUAAUUCGGUAUGUAAAGCUCUAUCAGCAGGGAAGAAAAUGACGGUACCUGAGUAAGAAGCCCCGGCUAACUACGUGCCAGCAGCCGCGGUAAUACGUAGGGGGCAAGCGUUAUCCGGAUUUACUGGGUGUAAAGGGAGCGUAGACGGCAGUGCAAGUCUGGAGUGAAAGGCGGGGGCUCAACCCCCGGACUGCUCUGGAAACUGUACGGCUGGAGUGCAGGAGAGGUAAGUGGAAUUCCUAGUGUAGCGGUGAAAUGCGUAGAUAUUGGGAGGAACACCAGUGGCGAAGGCGGCUUACUGGACUGUAACUGACGUUGAGGCUCGAAAGCGUGGGGAGCAAACAGGAUUAGAUACCCCUGUAGUC
This 440-nucleotide ribosomal RNA is filed under the name uncultured bacterium. RNAcentral's name for it is "partial 16S ribosomal RNA". It matches the Rfam family "Bacterial small subunit ribosomal RNA", at positions 338 to 795 of the family's 1533-position model. The record is from RNAcentral.